RNAcentral lists this small RNA (296 nucleotides) under Paenibacillus naphthalenovorans. Its description in RNAcentral is "5' ureB small RNA". It matches the Rfam family "5' ureB small RNA". Lineage: Bacteria; Bacillati; Bacillota; Bacilli; Caryophanales; Paenibacillaceae. The record is from Rfam by way of RNAcentral.
CCGUCUCGAUCUGCUGCGGGCAGAUAUAAUGGAUAUGCGUGUCGAUGCCGCCGGCCGUGAUAAUCUUGCCUUCGCCCGCUAUCACUUCCGUCGAAGCCCCGACAAUCAUGUUCGGAUGCACACCAUCCAUCAGAUCCGGAUUACCCGCUUUGCCUAUGCCGACAAUGACGCCGUCUUUGAUCCCGAUAUCGGCUUUCACAAUCCCGCUGUGAUCAAUAAUCACCGCAUUCGUAAUGAGGGUAUCGAGCACCCCUUGAUUGCGCGUAUGACGGCUCGAUUGCCCCAUACCGUCGCGG